This 235-nucleotide ribosomal RNA is filed under the name uncultured Actinomycetales bacterium. RNAcentral describes it as "partial 16S ribosomal RNA". It matches the Rfam family "Bacterial small subunit ribosomal RNA", at positions 96 to 334 of the family's 1533-position model. Lineage: Bacteria; Bacillati; Actinomycetota; Actinomycetes; Actinomycetales. The record is from RNAcentral.
UGGCGAACGGGUGAGUAACACGUGGGUGAUCUGCCCUGCACUUUGGGAUAAGCCUGGGAAACUGGGUCUAAUACCAGAUAGGACCAUGCUUUGGGUGGUGUGGUGGAAAGUUUUUUCGGUGUUGGAUGAGCUUGCGGCCUAUCAGCUUGUUGGUGGGGUAAUGGCCUACCAAGGCGUCGACGGGUAGCCGGCCUGAGAGGGUGUACGGCCACAUUGGGACUGAGAUACGGCCCAG